RNAcentral lists this long non-coding RNA (222 nucleotides) under Lathyrus oleraceus (garden pea). RNAcentral's name for it is "Pisum sativum (pea) long non-coding RNA (PSAT_LNC023240)". Lineage: Eukaryota; Viridiplantae; Streptophyta; Magnoliopsida; Fabales; Fabaceae. The record is from RNAcentral.
GAAAUGAAUAAUUUAAAAUACCACUAAAAGCAAAUAUUUAAUUUUAGAAAAAUAAACAAAAAGUGGACCCUAGAAGUUAUGGACCACGGGUGUAUCUAUCAGUCAGGCCCCCCAUGCCAUGCAUGCGGCCCCAAAUGAAUCCUGACCCUGCCUUAUUUGCAGUCUCAACACAAAACAAACCACACAUUUCGACCAAAAACAAAACAACACAAAUCAAGAACG